This 254-nucleotide ribosomal RNA is filed under the name uncultured bacterium. RNAcentral's name for it is "partial 16S ribosomal RNA". It matches the Rfam family "Bacterial small subunit ribosomal RNA", at positions 524 to 776 of the family's 1533-position model. The record is from RNAcentral.
UACGGGGGGAGCAAGCGUUGUUCGGAUUUACUGGGCGUAAAGGGCGCGUAGGCGGUCAGUGCAAGUCAGUUGUGAAAUCUCCGGGCUUAACUCGGAAAGGUCAACUGAUACUGCUCGACUAGAGUGCGGAAGGGGCAACUGGAAUUCUUGGUGUAGCGGUGAAAUGCGUAGAUAUCUGGAGGAACACCGGUGGCGAAGGCGGCAUCCUGGACCAACACUGACGCUGAGGAGCGAAAGCCAGGGGAGCAAACGGG